This 403-nucleotide ribosomal RNA is filed under the name uncultured bacterium. Its description in RNAcentral is "bacterial SSU rRNA". It matches the Rfam family "Bacterial small subunit ribosomal RNA", at positions 355 to 775 of the family's 1533-position model. The record is from RNAcentral.
UGGGGAAUAUUGGACAAUGGGCGAAAGCCUGAUCCAGCAAUACCGCGUGAGUGAUGAAGGCCUUAGGGUUGUAAAGCUCUUUUAAUAGGGAAGAUAAUGACGGUACCUAUAGAAAAAGCCCCGGCUAACUCCGUGCCAGCAGCCGCGGUAAGACGGAGGGGGCUAGCGUUGUUCGGAAUUACUGGGCGUAAAGAGCGCGUAGGCGGCUCGGCAAGUUGGAAGUGAAAUCCCAAGGCUCAACCUUGGAACUGCUUUCAAAACUGCUGAGCUAGAGUAUGGUAGGGGGUGAUAGAAUUCCUAGUGUAGAGGUGAAAUUCUUAGAUAUUAGGAGGAAUACCGGUGGCGAAGGCGAUCACCUGGGCCAUAACUGACGCUGAGGCGCGAAAGCGUGGGGGGCAAACAG